Non-coding RNA from Oncorhynchus kisutch (coho salmon), 73 nucleotides. Lineage: Eukaryota; Metazoa; Chordata; Actinopteri; Salmoniformes; Salmonidae. The record is from the annotation of a RefSeq genome assembly.
GUUUCUGUAGUGUAGUGGUUAUCACGUUCGCUUUACACGCGAAAGAUCCCUGGUUUGAAACCGUGCGGAAAGA